GUACAAUAAGCAAAAUAAGGGCGUAUGGGGGAUGCCUAGGCUCUCAGAGGCGAAGAAGGACGCGAUAAGCUGCGAAAAUCUGCGGGGAUUGGCACAUACAAAUUGAUCCGCAGGUAUCCGAAUGGGGCAACCCACUAUGUUGAAGACAUAGUAUCCGCCGUAAGGCGGAGGCAAACCCGGGGAACUGAAACAUCUAAGUACCCGGAGGAGAAGAAAACAAAAGUGAUUCCGUAAGUAGCGGCGAGCGAACGCGGAUUAGCCCAAACCAGGGUUGUUACGGCAAUUCUGGGGUUGUAGGACCGCGACAUUGGUUGUGCGAUGAAUUAGAACAAGUUGGAAAUCUUGGCCAUAGAAGGUGAUAGCCCUGUAUAAGUAAAGACCAUAAACCAUAGCGGUAUCCUGAGUAGUGCGGGACACGAGAAAUCCUGUAUGAAUUUGGCGGGACCAUCCGCUAAGGCUAAAUACUCCUGAGAGACCGAUAGUGAACCAGUACCGUGAGGGAAAGGUGAAAAGAACCUUGAAUAAAGGAGUGAAAUAGAUCCUGAAACCAUACGCUUACAAGCGGUCGGAGUCCGCCUUCGGGCGGAUGACGGCGUGCCUUUUGCAUAAUGAGCCUACGAGUUAACGUUGCUGGCAAGGUUAAGUGAUUAAGUCACGGAUCCGUAGCGAAAGCGAGUCUGAAUAGGGCGCAGAGACGUAGCACUGCUAUGUCUUUACAGUCAGUAGUGUUAGACGCGAAACCGUGUGAUCUACCCAUGGGCAGGGUGAAGCUUUGUUAACCCAAAGUGGAGGCCCGAACCCGUUGACGUUGAAAAGUCUUGGGAUGACCUGUGGGUAGGGGUGAAAGGCCAAUCAAACUCGGAAAUAGCUCGUACUCCCCGAAAUGCAUUUAGGUGCAGCGUUGAUAACUAGUUUUAUAGAGGUAGAGCUACUGAUUGGAUGCGGGGGCUUCACCGCCUACCAAUUCCUGACAAACUCCGAAUGCUAUAAAAUGAUAAUCAGCAGUGAGGGCAUGGGUGCUAAGGUCCAUGUCCGAGAGGGAAAGAACCCAGACCAUCAGCUAAGGUCCCAAAAUGUAUAUUAAGUUGAAUAAACGCGGUUGGAUUGCACAGACAGCUAGGAUGUUGGCUUGGAAGCAGCCAUUCAUUUAAAGAGUGCGUAACAGCUCACUAGUCGAGCGAUCCGGCAUGGAUAAUAAUCGGGCAUAAAUAUACUACCGAAGCUAUGGAUUUGUUUGCCUUUUGGCGGACAUCUGGUAGGGGAGCAUUCUAAUGGGGUUGAAGGUGAGCUGUAAGGCUUGCUGGACUAAUUAGAAAAGAAAAUGUAGGCAUAAGUAACGAUAAUGCGGGCGAGAAACCCGCACACCGAAAGACUAAGGUUUCCUCAGCUAUGCUAAUCAGCUGAGGGUUAGUCGGGGCCUAACGCGAACCCGAAAGGGGUAGUGGAUGGACAACAGAUUAAUAUUUCUGUACCUGCUCACAAUAAAAGUGACGGAGGCGUGAAUUUGGUGCGUGCUGACGGAAUAGCACGUUGAAGCCAGUGGUAACACGGCGAU
This 1555-nucleotide ribosomal RNA is filed under the name Flavobacteriales bacterium. RNAcentral's name for it is "partial 23S ribosomal RNA". It matches the Rfam family "Bacterial large subunit ribosomal RNA", at positions 1 to 1535 of the family's 2925-position model. Lineage: Bacteria; Pseudomonadati; Bacteroidota; Flavobacteriia; Flavobacteriales. The record is from RNAcentral.